Molecule: ribosomal RNA, 230 nt
Filed under: uncultured bacterium
Lineage: Bacteria
Description: partial 16S ribosomal RNA
Rfam family: Bacterial small subunit ribosomal RNA
Source: RNAcentral
AGUAACACGUGGGUUACGUGCCCCGAUGAUUGGGACAACCCGAGGAAACUCGGGCUAAUACCAAAUGUGCUCGUGUCCGUGAUGGACUCGAGGAAAGGAAGCUUCGGCCUCCGCAUCGGGAUCGGCCCGCGGCCCAUUAGCUAGUUGGUGGGGUAAUGGCCUACCAAGGCGACGAUGGGUAGCUGGUCUGAGAGGACGAUCAGCCACACUGGGACUGAGACACGGCCCAG